Molecule: ribosomal RNA, 350 nt
Filed under: uncultured bacterium
Lineage: Bacteria
Description: bacterial SSU rRNA
Rfam family: Bacterial small subunit ribosomal RNA
Source: RNAcentral
GGGCCCGCACAAGCGGUGGAGUAUGUGGUUUAAUUCGAUGCAACGCGAAGAACCUUACCAGGGUUUUGACAUCCUGCGAAUCUCUUGGAAACAGGAGAGUGCCUUCGGGAACGCAGUGACAGGUGGUGCAUGGCUGUCGUCAGCUCGUGUCGUGAGAUGUUGGGUUAAGUCCCGCAACGAGCGCAACCCACGUCUUUAGUUGCCAGCAUUUAGUUGGGCACUCUAGAGAGACUGCCGGUGAUAAACCGGAGGAAGGUGUGGAUGACGUCAAGUCAUCAUGCCCCUUACAUCCUGGGCUACACACGUACUACAAUGCUACGGACAAUAGGAAGCAAGACCGCGAGGUGGAG